Anas platyrhynchos (mallard) is the source of this 1250-nucleotide long non-coding RNA. RefSeq lists it as uncharacterized. NCBI's taxonomy places the organism in Eukaryota, Metazoa, Chordata, Aves, Anseriformes, Anatidae. The record is from RefSeq and is a predicted model, not a curated record.
CAGUGAAUAUCCUGUUGCAUAGUGACACAGUUCCAGGAGAUUUUGGGGAUGAGUGAGUCACUCAUAUGGAACAUCCAUCAUGCCAUACGCAGACAAAAUAUCCCACUUGGGACCUGGAUUAAAUCUCACUUAAAAGACAUCAGAAUUUGUAUUACGACAUACUACAGAGAGGGAAUUUGUUGCGUGGAGAGCAAAGCUAUAAAAUGAGUUUGCUUUGAUCUUUGCUUUCUGAGCCUUUCAAUUUUCUGAGGCUAUCACUCACACCACUGAGGGCACUUAAGCAUCUGUGAGUACCUAAGCCACUUCAUGACAUUUUUGGGGAAGUGGACCUCAAGACAUUACAUGCAGGGAAUGAAGAAAUUGCCUACGUGUAAUAGAGCUAUCAGGACUGGAAAAGAGAUACCAAAGGGGCACCAGGGAACAUCUGUAAUCCUGGAAUUACUUCAGAAUGGGAUGAUGUUCCUUCAAUAGGAACCUACUCCCUCUGUUGCCAGGCUUACACAGCACUCCAAGACGUCACCAAUCAGUCUGUUGCCUGGAGUCCCUAAGGGGUUUUGGAUACCUCAGGGACAUGUGGAAAGUUUCAGGAGUGUUACACUUUGCAAAAUGAGAAAUGAAUGACAUGUCCAAUAGAUGGACAAUGAAAGGAAAAAGGAUUUCCUACACUUAAAGAUGCUUUUAUACAGGCAAGCAAGCACUAUGCACUGAAAAAAGGAAAAGAAGGAAACUAACAUUCAGCAUGUGCUUUCAACUUCAAACAAGAACAACUCUUGAGGCUUGGAAUGUGUUUUCCAGGCUCACAGUGGGAAAGAGGAUUUCCAGGAUGCAGACAACCUUUAACACCUCAGGAAUCACAGUGUGGUCCAGACCUGACCAAUGGAAGAUGGACACCAGAGAAAGACGGGCAUUUUCUGGUGGUACCUGAAGCAAGAUUAAAAAAAAAAAAAAAGUACCUGGAAGCAGCUCUACUGGCCAGGCUCUUUGGCACCUUGCUUAGGUGCCUGAAGUCAAGAGGCAGAAAUCCAGGUCACAGUUCUGAAAAAUCUUUCGUGAUGUCACAGCUGAGACUUGUCUUCACAGUGCCCCUUUCUGUUUCCGUCCAUAAACUUAUGGCAACAUAUACUUUACUUUAAAGUACAGAAUAGCUAGUGCUUCCAGAAAAAUAAAUAAAUAAAUACACAAAUACAUAAAUAAAAGAGAAAAAAAAAAAAAAAAAAAAAAACACAGUAAGAGUGGUAAACAGAAGGGGA